UGUGGGCAAUGAUAAAACUGUUUCGCCCUACAAGCUUUAUGAACGGGAGAGGUCUCUGAUCAUGGUGUGCACGCCUGCUUGGUACGAAGGUAUCAAAUUGUGGGAAGCCUGAAGUGAUUAUCACCGCACCCACCUAUUUUGGUGUUGGGUGCGAGACAAUGUCUUUUGAGUAGCCCAUAA
This 180-nucleotide non-coding RNA is filed under the name Bacteriovoracaceae bacterium. RNAcentral describes it as "6S RNA". It matches the Rfam family "6S / SsrS RNA". Rfam says of the family: E. coli 6S RNA was the first non coding RNA to be sequenced, but its function was unknown until recently. It consists of 184 nucleotides that fold into an extended hairpin structure with a large single-stranded internal bulge. The record is from RNAcentral. Lineage: Bacteria; Pseudomonadati; Bdellovibrionota; Bacteriovoracia; Bacteriovoracales; Bacteriovoracaceae.